RNAcentral lists this ribosomal RNA (512 nucleotides) under uncultured bacterium. RNAcentral's name for it is "partial 16S ribosomal RNA". It matches the Rfam family "Bacterial small subunit ribosomal RNA", at positions 28 to 523 of the family's 1533-position model. The record is from RNAcentral.
GACGAACGCUGGCGGCAUGCCUAAUACAUGCAAGUCGAGCGAACAGAUGAAGUGCUUGCACUUCUGACGUUAGCGGCGAACGGGUGAGUAACACGUAAGGAAUCUACCUAUAAGCGGGGGAUAACAUUCGGAAACGGGUGCUAAUACCGCAUAAUAUCUUCUUCCGCAUGGAAGAAGAUUGAAAGACGGCUCUGCUGUCACUUAUAGAUGACCUUGCGGUGCAUUAGUUAGUUGGUGGGGUAACGGCCUACCAAGGCGACGAUCAGUAACUGGUCUGAGAGGAUGAUCAGUCACACCGGAACUGAGACCCGGUCCGGACUCCUACGGGAGGCAGCAGUGGGGAAUAUUGGACAAUGGGCGCAAGCCUGAUCCAGCAAUGCCGCGUGUGUGAAGAAGGCCUUCGGGUUGUAAAGCACUUUAGCCUGGAAAGAAAAAACUUUGGUUAACACCCAAAGUCUUGACGGUACCAGGAGAAUAAGCACCGGCUAACUCUGUGCCAGCAGCCGCCGUAA